RNAcentral lists this ribosomal RNA (295 nucleotides) under Staphylococcus aureus. RNAcentral describes it as "partial 16S ribosomal RNA". It matches the Rfam family "Bacterial small subunit ribosomal RNA", at positions 1 to 284 of the family's 1533-position model. The record is from RNAcentral. Lineage: Bacteria; Bacillati; Bacillota; Bacilli; Caryophanales; Staphylococcaceae.
UUUUAUGGAGAGUUUGAUCCUGGCUCAGGAUGAACGCUGGCGGCGUGCCUAAUACAUGCAAGUCGAGCGAACGGACGAGAAGCUUGCUUCUCUGAUGUUAGCGGCGGACGGGUGAGUAACACGUGGAUAACCUACCUAUAAGACUGGGAUAACUUCGGGAAACCGGAGCUAAUACCGGAUAAUAUUUUGAACCGCAUGGUUCAAAAGUGAAAGACGGUCUUGCUGUCACUUAUAGAUGGAUCCGCGCUGCAUUAGCUAGUUGGUAAGGUAACGGCUUACCAAGGCAACGAUGCAU